CUGAUUGUUUUUUAACCAAAACAUCUCAAAUAAGUGGCCGGCUAUGCAUAAAGCAGAAAAAAACUCUGGCGGCUUGCCUUGCCUCCGUUUACUUACUACAAGUUACAGGUAGUAUGUACGCCGGCUAAUUUCCUACCAUUAGGAAA
Molecule: non-coding RNA, 146 nt
Organism: Pseudomonadales bacterium
Lineage: Bacteria; Pseudomonadati; Pseudomonadota; Gammaproteobacteria; Pseudomonadales
Source: Rfam